AAAUAGUGUCUCUUGAAGUGUGAUCCAUUGCACUUAGUGCAACUUAUUUUCAUGAAUGAGAAUUAUUCUUCAGUAUCAAAAGCAAAACAAUAAAAAGCAGGAAUAAUUUAGUUGCGUUGAUACAGGGAAGGAAUAAAAUCUUGAUUGCCUUCUCUAAAUGCUUUAUAAUGAUUUCUUUUCAACCAAAUUUCUUUUAUGGUAAUGCAGAUUUCUAAGUUACUUUAUCAAGUCCAUUCAGACAUGAUGCUUCACUGAUCCCUUCUUGGACAUCUCCACUGAGCUAUCAUCUUCACGAACUUUGUAUUUGUACCACUUAGCACAUAGCAGAAAAUAUGCUAAGUUCAAUACCCCCAAAACACCAAUUACAUAAUAGAAA
Molecule: unclassified non-coding RNA, 376 nt
Filed under: Hevea brasiliensis (rubber tree)
Lineage: Eukaryota; Viridiplantae; Streptophyta; Magnoliopsida; Malpighiales; Euphorbiaceae
Source: RNAcentral